GUAGUCGUGGCCGAGUGGUUAAGGAGAUGGACUAGAAAUCCAUUGGGGUCUACCCUCGCAGGUUUGAAUCCUGCCAACUACG
This is a non-coding RNA of Xenopus laevis (African clawed frog), 82 nucleotides long. The record is from Rfam. NCBI's taxonomy places the organism in Eukaryota, Metazoa, Chordata, Amphibia, Anura, Pipidae.